Molecule: ribosomal RNA, 425 nt
Filed under: uncultured bacterium
Lineage: Bacteria
Description: partial 16S ribosomal RNA
Rfam family: Bacterial small subunit ribosomal RNA
Source: RNAcentral
GUGGGGAAUCUUGCGCAAUGGGCGAAAGCCUGACGCAGCCAUGCCGCGUGAAUGAUGAAGGUCUUAGGAUUGUAAAAUUCUUUCACCGGGGACGAUAAUGACGGUACCCGGAGAAGAAGCCCCGGCUAACUUCGUGCCAGCAGCCGCGGUAAUACGAAGGGGGCUAGCGUUGCUCGGAAUUACUGGGCGAAAAGGGCGCGUAGGCGGACCGUUUAGUCAGAGGUGAAAGCCCAGGGCUCAACCUUGGAAUUGCCUUUGAGACUGGCUGUCUUGAGUACGGGAGAGGUGAGUGGAACUCCGAGUGUAGAGGUGAAAUUCGUAGAUAUUCGGAAGAACACCAGUGGCGAAGGCGACUCACUGGCCCGUUACUGACGCUGAGGCGCGAAAGCGUGGGGAGCAAACAGGAUUAGAUACCCUUGUAGUCC